AUCUGGCUAAAGGGUCCCAAAUAGGACGAAAUGUGCAUCCUGGAU
Molecule: non-coding RNA, 45 nt
Organism: Schistosoma rodhaini
Lineage: Eukaryota; Metazoa; Platyhelminthes; Trematoda; Strigeidida; Schistosomatidae
Source: Rfam